GUGUAUAUAGUUGAGUAGAUAUGUAUAUAGGUGUAUAUAGUUGAGUAUUGAGUAGAUGUAUAUAGUUGAGAUGUAUAUAGAUGUAUAUAGUUGAGUAGAUGUAUAUAGAUGUAUAUAGUUGAGUAGAUGUAUAUAGGUGUAUAUAGUUGAGAUGUAUAUAGAUGUGUAUAUAGUUGAGAUGUAUAUAGAUGUAUAUAGUUGAGUAGAUGUAUAUAGAUGUAUAUAGUUGAGUAGAUGUAUAUAGGUGUAUAUAGUUGAGAUGUAUAUAGAUGUAUAUAGUUGAGUAGAUGUAUAUAGGUGUAUAUAGUUGAGAUGUAUAUAGAUGUAUAUAGUUGAGUAGAUGUAUAUAGUUGAGUAGAUGUAUAUAGAUGUAUAUAGUUGAGUAGAUGUAUAUAGAUAUAUAUAGUUGAGUAGAUGUAUAUAGGUGUAUCUAGUUGAGUAGAUGUAUAUAGGUGUAUAUAGUUGAAUGCAUGUAUAUACAUGUAUAAAGUUGAAUAGAUGUUAGCGUCGCAUCGUGACUGUGUUGGUCGUUUGUUAGAUAAGUAAAAGUAUUUGUGGAGAGCUUAUCUCAGCGCUAAAUCUUUUUUCUGUUUUUUUUUCCCCUUUGGUAUCAUCAUUUCUGAUCAGGGUGUGAGUCUCUGGAACGAUAAACAGGUCUUCUUCUUUUUUUUUUUUUCUUGUUCAUAUUGGGAAUUGAGAACUUUGCUAAUCUCUUUAUCUGUCUUUCGCCACUACCUGAGAAGGGCGUUACACUCGGUCGCUGUGAGCCCUCAGGUGAACAGGUGUACGUUUUCCCAUUGACUCCCGUUUCCUCAUUUCUACCUUCUGCCAUGUUAACAGGAAUUAAAAAUCAUGCUGUUCCUGUUCUUCAGCUUCUCAGUCACCUGAAUCUCACCUGGGCUGCAUUCCAGUACUGUUGCUAAUCUGCGCGCUCAGACCUGCAGCUCGAU
Molecule: long non-coding RNA, 950 nt
Organism: Ictalurus punctatus (channel catfish)
Lineage: Eukaryota; Metazoa; Chordata; Actinopteri; Siluriformes; Ictaluridae
Source: Ensembl